CUAGUAGCCGCGAACAUCUUAUUCCUGGAUCAACCUUCCUAGGCUUCGAUGGUGAUUACGGGAGCUCCCAUGGCUUAGAAGUUGCAGCUGGAAGGAGAAGGGACGAAACACCACUCGGCCGAGAUUCCCUCAGAGAUGCUGUUAACCUUCUCGCUACUUCCGGUAACACACGUCUAACGGUUUGCUACGAUCUGAUCAUGCCCAUUACAUUCCCUCAGAGCUGCUGUUAACGAUCUCGCUUCUCAAGAUAACACACGUGAAAGGGCGAGAUCACUACUCGUCGUGGUUCAAAUGAUCGCUGAAUCUAUAAGAUUUGAAGAUAUCUCCAAUUUUCUCUUUGAAAAUUACGAGGGUAGUGGUGGUAUUCCCGAAGAACG
RNAcentral lists this long non-coding RNA (377 nucleotides) under Panax ginseng (ginseng). RNAcentral describes it as "long non-coding RNA (PGIN_LNC007136)". The record is from RNAcentral. Lineage: Eukaryota; Viridiplantae; Streptophyta; Magnoliopsida; Apiales; Araliaceae.